Long non-coding RNA from Sarcophilus harrisii (Tasmanian devil), 811 nucleotides. RefSeq lists it as uncharacterized. The transcript is spliced from 3 exons. The record is from RefSeq and is a predicted model, not a curated record. NCBI's taxonomy places the organism in Eukaryota, Metazoa, Chordata, Mammalia, Dasyuromorphia, Dasyuridae.
AUGUUCUUAACAUCAGUGUCCUAUAGGUAUUAUAAGAUGACUGCCUGAUAUGGAGCAGCCCAGUGUGUGAAGAACUUGAGAUGCUUAUCAGAACACAAUGGAGAAGCACAGGGUGAAUAUGAGAAGGCUACUUAUUGAGCACCUAGCAUGUAUCAGGCAGUGUGGGAACUGAGCCAAAUUUACAAGAAUAAGAGGCAUCCAUCCCCCAACUGAUAAAAGGACAAGAUAAAAGGUCAUCUGAGAUAUGAACAGUUUUCAGAAGAAAUCAAAGCCAUCAACAGUCAUAUGAAAAAAUUUAAAUCGGGAGAGAUCACUUCCAUAAGGCAUUCUGGGGAGAUACUCUGUUAUGCCAGACCAUUAAGUACAAUGUCCAGAGAGCACCUGGGAAAGCACAGGUAACUUUACAGAUCAAAGCCUUUUUAUAAGAUGAUCUAUUCAGUGAUGCUACAAUUAAAUCAACCUUAUUUCUCCCAGAUUUUCUUCUUCUGUUGGAUCUUAACUUGGAAGAGAGUAUUUCAUUCCAAGGGCCUGGUCAAUAAGGCCAGACUUUCACAAAACUGGUAAGCAAGGAAAGUUUGGUUUGGUUGGACUCCCCCCUUUCCCCCCAGUGCCCUUCCUCUCUUCUACAUCAAUCUCAUCUUGCUCUAGGCUAGAUGUCAACUAAUUCUAAUUUAAUAUCAUAGAUUUAGAGCUCACAGGGACCUUAGAGAUUAUCAUGGUCACACUCCUCAAUUUGUAGAUGAACAAACUGAGGCCUAGAGAGGUUGAAGGAAUAGUUCACACAGCUACAAAUAGGAUCUGAACUCAGGUU